Molecule: ribosomal RNA, 497 nt
Filed under: uncultured bacterium
Lineage: Bacteria
Description: partial 16S ribosomal RNA
Rfam family: Bacterial small subunit ribosomal RNA
Source: RNAcentral
GAUGAACGCUGGCGGCGUGCCUAAUACAUGCAAGUCGAGCGAACGGACGAGAAGCUUGCUUCUCUGAUGUUAGCGGCGGACGGGUGAGUAACACGUGGAUAACCUACCUAUAAGACUGAGAUAACUUCGGGAAACCGGAGCUAAUACCGGAUAAUAUUUUGAACCGCAUGGUUCAAAAGUGAGAGACGGUCUUGCUGUCACUUAUAGAUGGAUCCGCGCUGCAUUAGCUAGUUGGUAAGUUAACGGCUUACCAAGGCAACGAUGCAUAGCCGACCUGAGAGGGUGAUCGGCCACACGGGAACGUAGACACGGUCAAGACUCCUACGGGAGGCAGCAGUAGGGAAUCGUCCGCAAUGGGCGAAAGCCUGACGGAGCAACGCCGCGUGAGUGAUGAAGGUCUUCGGAUCGUAAAAAUCUGUUAUUAGGGAAGAACAGAUGUGUAAGUAACUGUGCACAUCUUGACGGUACCUAAUCAGAAAGCCACGGCUAACUACGUG